Molecule: long non-coding RNA, 519 nt
Filed under: Ananas comosus (pineapple)
Lineage: Eukaryota; Viridiplantae; Streptophyta; Magnoliopsida; Poales; Bromeliaceae
Description: long non-coding RNA (ACOM_LNC027470)
Source: RNAcentral
UCUCAUACUCAUACUCAAGAUACGUGCCACUAAUUUUAAUAAGAAUUAAUUUCAUACAGCUUUCUACAAAUAUAAUAAAUUAUAAAUGUAUUUUUAUAAUAUUCAACUUUUAUAUGCUAUUUGGUACAAAAAUUCUAAUAUUUUUAAAUAUGUCUAUGUUGUUACAAUCUGUUAUAAAAAAUUAGUUAAUCAUAGAUAAAAUACUUAACCAUGUUGAUGAGGUGAAUUAAUCUUUUUACCCCUCUUUAAUUAAUAGUUUGAAUUUUUGGAGAGACGUAUUUAUGAUGACAAAAAUAUCAUUUUACUUAUAAAAUAAACAGUAUUUUAACGGUAACAAACCAGAGGAAAAUAUAUAUUUGAAAAUAUUAUGAUUUUUGCAGGGACAAAAUUAAAAAAUUAGAUUUUAUAGAAAUAUAUUAUUAAUUUAUUAUGUUUGCAGAGAUCUGUAUAAAAUUAACCUUUUAAAUAAACACCUUGCCUCGAUUCAAAAAUAAACUAACUCAGAUCAAAACAACCGGA